This 491-nucleotide ribosomal RNA is filed under the name uncultured bacterium. RNAcentral's name for it is "partial 16S ribosomal RNA". It matches the Rfam family "Bacterial small subunit ribosomal RNA", at positions 29 to 506 of the family's 1533-position model. The record is from RNAcentral.
AGUGAACGCUGGCGGUAGGCCUAACACAUGCAAGUCGAACGGCAGCACAGUAAGAGCUUGCUCUUACGGGUGGCGAGUGGCGGACGGGUGAGGAAUACAUCGGAAUCUACUUUUUCGUGGGGGAUAACGUAGGGAAACUUACGCUAAUACCGCAUACGACCUACGGGUGAAAGCAGGGGAUCUUCGGACCUUGCGCGAUUGAAUGAGCCGAUGUCGGAUUAGCUAGUUGGCGGGGUAAAGGCCCACCAAGGCGACGAUCCGUAGCUGGUCUGAGAGGAUGAUCAGCAAAAGUGGAACUGAGAAACGGUCCAGACUCCUACGGGGGGCAGCAGUGGGGAAUAUUGGACAAUGGGCGCAAGCCUGAUCCAGCCAUACCGCGUGGGUGAAGAAGGCCUUCGGGUUGUAAAGCCCUUUUGUUGGGAAAGAAAAGCAGCAGGUUAAUACCCCGCUGUUCUGACGGUACCAAAAGAAUAAGCACCGGCUAACUUCGU